Pelobates cultripes (western spadefoot toad) is the source of this 439-nucleotide non-coding RNA. The record is from the annotation of a GenBank genome assembly. Lineage: Eukaryota; Metazoa; Chordata; Amphibia; Anura; Pelobatidae.
CCUGCACGUAUGUUUCAGGUAAACAGCGCUCCCCCUGCAUGUAGUGUCCAGUGACACAGUGCUCGACCUGCAUGUAUUUUCCAGGUACACAGCGCUCCCCCUGCACGUAGUGUCCAGUAACACAGUGCUCCCCCUGCAUGUAGUGUCCAGGUACACAGUGCUUCCCCUGCAUGUAGUGUCCAGUGACACAGUGCUCCCCCUCCAUGAGGUGUCCAGAUACACAGUGCUCCCCCUCCAUGAGGUGUUCAGAUACACAGUGCUCUCCCUGCAUGUAGUGUCCAGGUACACAGUGCUCCCCCUGCAUGUAGUGUCCAGGUACACAGUGCUCCCUCUGCAUGUAGUGUCCAGAUACACAGUGCUCCCCCUGCAUGUAGUGUCCAGUGACACAGUGCUCCCCCUCCAUGAGGUGUCCAGAUACACAGUGCUCCCCUGCAUGUAG